Molecule: RNA transcript, 1788 nt
Organism: Pyrgilauda ruficollis (rufous-necked snowfinch)
Lineage: Eukaryota; Metazoa; Chordata; Aves; Passeriformes; Passeridae
Gene: TRIP4
Gene name: thyroid hormone receptor interactor 4
Exons: 13
Source: RefSeq, a predicted model, not a curated record
GGGAAAGGAAGGGGAGGGUGUCGGGCGGUGCGGCGGCGUUUCCCGUCCCCCGCGGAAGAUGGCGGCGCCCAGCGCGCUCCUGGCCUGGUGCGUCCAACACCUGCGCGGGGACUUCGGGCUGGACGUGGGCGAGGACGUGGUGAGGUACAUCUUGUCCAUCACAAACGAGGAUGAGAUCCGCGAGUACGUUGUUGACCUUGUUCAGGGCACGGACGGGAAGAAGAGCUGGUUUGUGGAAGAGCUGCUGAGCAGGUGGAGGAAAUCUGCCCAGCUGCCCUCCGAGCCCUUCCCAGCCUACCGGAAAAAGGACGAGGCUUUGGAAGUGCCACGGGCUGGGGACCAAGGGAAGAAGGGGAAGCGCAAAGGGCGGAACAAGCAGGAGACCCCGGCGUACAGCGAGCCCAGUGCUCACGGGGAGGAGGUGAAAACCCCACUGGACCUGGCCAAGGUGUGCACUAAAGAAGAGCAGGACAUUCUUCAGCGGGACUCCAACAAGAGCCAGAAGCUGCUGAAGAAGCUCAUGGCAGGUGCCGAAAGUUCAGGGAAUUUGGAUGCCAUAAGCAAAGGCUUGCUGCCUCAGCAGGAAGCAAGACUCAAGUCAGGCCUGGAGAUGGCUGUGAAGCACAAAGACAAGCUGCUGGAAUUUGAUAGGACAAGCGUGCGUCGGACGCAGGUCAUUGACGACGAGUCGGAUUACUUUGCCACGGACUCCAACCAGUGGCUCUCCAAGCAGGAGAGGGAAGCGCUCCAGAAGAGGGAGCAGGAGCUGCGGGAGCUGCGCCACGCCUCUCGGCUGGCCAAGAAAAUCACCAUCGACUUUGCUGGCAGGCAGAUCUUGGAGGAAGACAACAACAUGGCUGAGUACCACAGCAAACUGGAUGAGACCAUUGCAGCCAUGAGCUGUGGCGCACUGAGCGAGCCAGCCAGGAGCCCUGGGGCAGAGAUGACACCAAACUCUGGGGUUUUGGUGAAUCCCCGUCUCCUCCAGCCUGCUCCUUUGUGGGUGGACCAAACUGGUUUGCUCCCACAAAGGAAAACUGUUCGUUCCAUGGAGGCUGGAAGUGAGUCUGGCUUGGAGCGGAACCGGCUGCGGAUUCAGGACCGAGAGCUGCAGGAGAUCUCAGAUGAUGGUUGGUGCCUCAGCCUGCACCAGCCUUGGGCUUCCUUGCUUGUGAGAGGAAUCAAAAGGGUGGAGGGCAGGACCUGGUACACAUCUCAUCGAGGGAGGUUAUGGAUUGCAGCUACUGCUAAAAGACCUUCCCCUCAGGAAAUCUCAGAACUGGAGGCCACCUACAGAAUGCUGCUCCGGAAAGAUGUGGAAUUUCCAAGUGAUUAUCCCUCAGGAUGCCUCCUGGGCUGUGUGGACGUGACUGAUUGUUUAUCACAAGAGCAAUUUCAGGAGCAGUAUCCAGACCUGAGCCAGGAGUCCGGGUCUCCAUUUGUCUUUAUCUGCACUAAUCCCCAGGAGAUGGUUCUGAAGUUUCCCAUCAAAGGAAAACACAAAAUCUGGAAGCUGGAUGCAAAGAUCCAUCAGGGAGCAAAGAAGGGGUUAAUGAAGCAGAAAGCUGUGGGGUGAGCGCCGGGGAGCAGCACUGGUUCCCAUGAAGCACCCAACUGCCUCUGAAGGGAGCCAGGAUGGUCUUCAGCUCUGGAAAGCAGGUGCAAGAUGGAUCCCUGAUCUCAGAUUAUGUUUAGCAGCGAUGCCGUCACCUGGGCAGACCCAGACCACUGGAAGCCCCCCAAGGACGUAGGUGACCCCCAGGGCGUAGAGGCAGGGAAGAGCCUUGA